AAUCACAGAGAAUGAACAUUUCUAUUCACCUACUGUGAACUUUGGUGACCACCUGGAGGCAACAGAAUAAUACACUGUACUUCAGAGAGAAGAGGAACCACAGUUCACAACCUGAGAGUUACUGAAAUCCUUAAGAGAAGGUUGCUGUCACACCACCAAGAAGAAGCAUAAAGAACAAAGUACAGCUAUAAAAGUUUUAUUUGUGGUUAAAAUGUUGGACCAACUUGAACAGUAAUGCAAAGAAAAAAACCAAGAGAAAGGAAACUGAUAAAAAGACUAAGUCUGUAUUGUUACCUGCUAAAAA
Long non-coding RNA from Pezoporus flaviventris, 304 nucleotides. RefSeq lists it as uncharacterized. NCBI's taxonomy places the organism in Eukaryota, Metazoa, Chordata, Aves, Psittaciformes, Psittacidae. The record is from RefSeq and is a predicted model, not a curated record. The transcript has 2 exons.